Molecule: long non-coding RNA, 235 nt
Filed under: Elaeis guineensis (African oil palm)
Lineage: Eukaryota; Viridiplantae; Streptophyta; Magnoliopsida; Arecales; Arecaceae
Description: long non-coding RNA (EGUI_LNC003282)
Source: RNAcentral
CCCCUCCUCUAGCUCUUCCUCCCAACAAAAGGAUGUCCAAAUUUAAGCUUCGAGUAACUAUCCUCAUAUAUUUGGACCAAGCUAGAUUAUUAUUUGUACUAAAUAAGAUAAUUAUUUAUACUAAGUAAGAUUAUCUUACCCUCUCAAGAAAAGAUAUAACAAAGAUAAUUAUAGUUAUAUAUUUUGUAUAAUUAAUAUAAGUUUAUAUAAUUAGUUUUAUGCAAAUGUCUGCCGA